GAUGAAGAACGCAGCAAAAUGCGAUAAGUAAUGUGAAUUGCAGAAUUCAGUGAAUCAUCGAAUCUUUGAACGCACAUUGCGCCCGCCAGUAUUCUGGCGGGCAUGCCUGUUCGAGCGUCAUUUCAACCCUCAGGCCCCCAGUGCCUGGUGUUGGGGAUCGGCAGCAGGGCGUCAAGCCCGCCGGCCCCGAAAUCUAGUGGCGGUCUCGCUGUAGUCCUCCUCUGCGUAGUAGCACAACCUCGCAGUUGGAACGCGGCGGUGGCCAUGCCGUUAAACACCCCACUUCUGAAAGUUGACCUCGGAUCAGGUAGGAAUACCCGCUGAACUUAAGCAUAUCAAUAAGCGGAGGA
This 350-nucleotide unclassified non-coding RNA is filed under the name soil metagenome. RNAcentral describes it as "partial contains 5.8S ribosomal RNA, internal transcribed spacer 2, and large subunit ribosomal RNA". The stretch from base 1 to 120 matches the Rfam family "5.8S ribosomal RNA", at positions 35 to 154 of the family's 154-position model. The record is from RNAcentral.